UUCCGUAGGUGAACCUGCGGAAGGAUCAUUUACACGAAUGUCCAACAUUUAAAACCAGAAUCUAAUUGUGAAGUCUAACUGUUCGCAGUUGGACUUCAACGGUGGGGUUUCUCGUUGAUUCGCCUGUGGAUCGGUGAGAGGCUCUAUCACUCUUGAAAACCUUUUAAAACUUUUCCAGUAUUUUUAAGGUGAUUUCUUUGAAAUCUAUUAUUUUCACAACUUUUAGCGAUGGAUGCCUCGGCUCGGAUAACGAUGAAGGACGCAGCAAAAUGCGAUAAGCGCCGUGAAUGGCAGAAUUCCGUGAAUCAAGAGAACGCUGAACGCAUACUGCACUUUCAGGUCACUCCUGAAAGUAUGUCUGUUUCAGGGCGAUAAUGCAUAAAUGCUCUCAAUAUCUACAAUUUGCAACUGCAGUUGUGAUGCUGAGUAGCGUCGUUGUGUGUCAGUGUAUGAAUAUCCAUUGACGCAUCAAAUUAAGAUGAAUUUUUCAGCAAGCUUUCGCUGCGUGGUUUCUAAAAUCUCUAAGUGAAGCUUUGAUGAGUUCAUUUCUUUCUUCUCUCGCAGAUUAACCUCUGCAAUUGUUGCUUUUCGCAUGAAAUUAGACAAGGCUACCCGCUGAAUUUAAGCAUAUCAAUA
Molecule: ribosomal RNA, 636 nt
Filed under: uncultured eukaryote
Lineage: Eukaryota
Description: eukaryotic LSU rRNA
Rfam family: 5.8S ribosomal RNA (bases 218-372)
Source: RNAcentral